CCUACGGGAGGCAGCAGUGGGGAAUAUUGGACAAUGGGCGCAAGCCUGACCCAGCAACGCCGCGUGAAUGAAGAAGGCUUUCGGGUUGUAAACUUCUUUUGUCAGGGAAGAGUAGAAGACGGUACCUGACGAAUAAGCCACGGCUAACUACGUGCCAGCAGCCGCGGUAAUACGUAGGUGGCAAGCGUUGUCCGGAUUUACUGGGCGUAAAGGGCGUGUAGCCGGGUUGACAAGUCAGAUGUGAAAUCCUUCGGCUUAACCGGAGAACUGCAUUUGAAACUGUUGAUCUUGAGUACUGGAGAGGGAGACGGAAUUCCUAGUGUAGCGGUGAAAUGCAUAGAUAUAAGAAAGAACACCGAUGGCGAAGGCGUCUAACGAAUCCGCGACUGACGCUGAGGUACGAAAGCGUGGGUAGCAAACAGGAUUAGAUACCCGAGUAGUC
RNAcentral lists this ribosomal RNA (442 nucleotides) under uncultured bacterium. RNAcentral describes it as "partial 16S ribosomal RNA". It matches the Rfam family "Bacterial small subunit ribosomal RNA", at positions 338 to 795 of the family's 1533-position model. The record is from RNAcentral.